Molecule: long non-coding RNA, 214 nt
Filed under: Elaeis guineensis (African oil palm)
Lineage: Eukaryota; Viridiplantae; Streptophyta; Magnoliopsida; Arecales; Arecaceae
Description: long non-coding RNA (EGUI_LNC004746)
Source: RNAcentral
AUUCACAGUCGGAUUCAAUGUCAGCCGUCAGAUCGUGCCAACAAAAAAAAACUCUUCCAUUUAGUUCUCCCACCGGCAACCAACUACAGCCGUCCGAUCUCACUUCAAAUUGAUUUGGGCCAUUGGAUCACGUGUUUGAAGUGGGCCACUAUUGCUAGAUAUGGAUUGGAGCUUCCUCAGCCAUCUGAUCAUGUAUUUGGUGCGAUAUCAACUG